GAGGCCGGGCACAGCCCCGCUCCCGGCGCCGCCUCACGGCCGCAGGCGCUGCCUCCCGCGGCCCGGCCCGGUCCCCUGCGCUGGCUCCGCGGGGAGCGCUCCGCGCCGCGCGGCCAUGGAGGCCCCGGGGCCGCCGCCUACCUGCGCCACCGGCUCCGGCCCUCCGCUCCGCCGGCCCGCCCGCACGGAACUCACAGGUGGAAGAGUCAAGUGAUCUGCUGGAAUUACACUGAGAGAAGAGAGAUGGGCGGAUCCUGUGCUGAGAAGGGCAGAGGAACUUCAUAAGCAGAAGGAGACACUUAGAAGAGAAAAUGAAUUGCCUCACCAUUUUGAAUUAACCGCAAAAGAUACUCCUGACAAGAUCUGUAAGAAAAAGAAUUCAUAUGCAGAAGCAAUUGCAUUUUCUGACUGGUUCUUUGUGUUCUUUUAUGACCAAAACAUUACUUUCUGACU
Pyrgilauda ruficollis (rufous-necked snowfinch) is the source of this 453-nucleotide long non-coding RNA. RefSeq lists it as uncharacterized. The record is from RefSeq and is a predicted model, not a curated record. The transcript has 3 exons. Lineage: Eukaryota; Metazoa; Chordata; Aves; Passeriformes; Passeridae.